GAUGAACGCUGGCGGCGUGCCUAAUACAUGCAAGUCGAGCGAACAGACGAGGAGCUUGCUCCUCUGACGUUAGCGGCGGACGGGUGAGUAACACGUGGAUAACCUACCUAUAAGACUGGGAUAACUUCGGGAAACCGGAGCUAAUACCGGAUAAUAUAUUGAACCGCAUGGUUCAAUAGUGAAAGACGGUUUUGCUGUCACUUAUAGAUGGAUCCGCGCCGCAUUAGCUAGUUGGUAAGGUAACAGCUUACCAAGGCAACGAUGCGUAGCCGACCUGAGAGGGUGAUCGGCCACACUGGAACUGAGACACGGUCCAGACUCCUACGGGAGGAAGCAGUAGGGAAUCUUCCGCAAUGGGCGAAAGCCUGACGGAGCAACGCCGCGUGAGGGAUGAAGGUCUUCGGAUCGUAAGACUUUGUUAUUAGGGAAGAACAAAUGUGUAAGUAACUAUGCACGUCUUGACGGUACCUAAUCAGAAAGCCACGGCUAACUACGUG
Molecule: ribosomal RNA, 497 nt
Filed under: uncultured bacterium
Lineage: Bacteria
Description: partial 16S ribosomal RNA
Rfam family: Bacterial small subunit ribosomal RNA
Source: RNAcentral